CUACGGGAGGCUCCAGUGAGGAAUAUUGCGCAAUGGGCGAAAGCCUGACGCAGCGAUGUCGCGUGAGUGAAGAAACCCUUAGGGGUGUAAAGCUCUUUUUUAUGGGACGAAUGCCCGUUUCGGCGGGAGCGACGGUACCAUGAGAAUAAGCACCGGCUAACUCCGUGCCAGCAGCCGCGGUAAUACGGAGGGUGCAAGCGUUGUCCGGAUUUACUGGGCGUAAAGGGCGUGUAGGCGGGAUGAUCAGUCGGAGGUGAAAUUUGCACAGCUCAACUGGCAAAGUGCCUUCGAUACUGUCAUCCUUGAGUGAAGGAGGGGGUAGUGGAAUUCCCGGUGUAGCGGUGGAAUGCGCAGAUAUCGGGAGGAACACCGGUGGCGAAGGCGGCUACCUGGCCUUACACUGACGCUGAUGCGCGAAAGCGUGGGGAGCAAACAGGAUUAGAUACCCCCGUAGUC
This 456-nucleotide ribosomal RNA is filed under the name uncultured bacterium. RNAcentral's name for it is "partial 16S ribosomal RNA". It matches the Rfam family "Bacterial small subunit ribosomal RNA", at positions 339 to 795 of the family's 1533-position model. The record is from RNAcentral.